This 400-nucleotide unclassified non-coding RNA is filed under the name uncultured fungus. Its description in RNAcentral is "sequence contains ITS1". The stretch from base 1 to 105 matches the Rfam family "5.8S ribosomal RNA", at positions 50 to 154 of the family's 154-position model. The record is from RNAcentral. Lineage: Eukaryota; Fungi.
GAAAUGCGAUAAGUAAUGUGAAUUGCAGAAUUUCGUGAAUCAUCGAAUCUUUGAACGCAUAUUGCACUCUCUGGUCCUCCAGAGAGUAUGCCUGUUUGAGUAUCAUUUACACCUCUCAUCUCCUCAAAGGGCGCAAGCCUGGAAAGGAUGAUGGACGUGAGCGUUCAGUGCUUCCUUAGAGACGACUUCAGGUUGACCCUAACUAAGCUCAAGCUGGUCGCUUAAAAUGAAGCGUGGUUGUACUUGGCAUUGCUUUGUACUGGCGUAUUAGUUCUCGCUAGAGAUUCCUUACGCACAAACAGUACGGCGUCGCUUGCAACUGCGUCCAAACAACAAGAGUGCGGUGGCAGUCGACACAGCAUUUCAACCUAUUGAUCUCAAAUCAGGCAAGGCUACCCGC